UGAUAUUUGGGAUGGGGUUGCAUGCCAUGUUUGUGGGUUCAAAAUAUCUCAAAGGAAAAGGUUCACAGCUCCCCCUUCAAACUUCUUUGGACUUUUCUAUCUCAAGACACUUCCAAGGUGGGUGGGGAUGAAGUCGGUUACAGAAGCAAAGUCGAAAAUCGGGCAAGCUGUGAUGAUGACACUGCAAGUAGGAGUGUUGGAGAAAUUCAAGAGUGUACCUUUGGUUACUGGAUUCGAUCUUGCUUGUUUCGCCGGUGCUGUAUUUGUUUCCUCAGCUUGUUUAUUCCUCCUCUCACAACUCUCUGAUGGUGCUGGUGAUGCUACUGCCACUAAUAAUAUAUCCUAAGAAUGAGAUAGGUACCUAGCCAUGGAAGGAAUGUAUCAUCAACUACUAUCACUGACUAAAACAAGAAGCAUAGCAUACACUUAGCUUGGGAAGAGAAAGCUAAGUAACACACUCGUAUAGUUAGAGGAAUGACAAUAUAAAACCAGUCCUUAGAUUUUUUA
This is a long non-coding RNA of Camellia sinensis, 507 nucleotides long. RefSeq lists it as uncharacterized. The record is from RefSeq and is a predicted model, not a curated record. Lineage: Eukaryota; Viridiplantae; Streptophyta; Magnoliopsida; Ericales; Theaceae.